UUGCCACUAAGGAGAAUGGCCUGGCCAGUAAAGUAUAGGUAAAAAUAGAUGGAGGCAAACCACUAGAGACUCCUAACUCUGGGAAACAAACACAGGGUUGCGGAAGGGGAGGUGGGUAGGGGGGGUUGGGGUUGGGGUAAUAAGUGAUGGGCACUUGAUGGGAUGAGAACCGGGUGUUAUACUACAUGUUGACCAAUUGAAUUUAAGUAAAAAAAUAAAAAUAAAAAUACAUAAAUUUUUAUUUUUAUUUUUUAUUUAUACUGGUUGGGGGGGAGCAGUUUUAGGUUCACAGCAAAAUUAAGGGAAAGGUAGAUCAAUUUCUCAUAGAUGCUUACCCCCAUACACGCACAGCCUCCCCAAUUGUCCACAUCCCCCGCAUCCCCAAUUGUCCGCAACUUUUUUUUUUAAAAAACAAUUGAUGAAAUCAUACUGUCACAUCGCAAUCAGCCAAAGGCCGCAGUUUACAUUAUGGUUGACCCUUGCCGUUGCACGUUCUAGGAGUUUGGAUAAAUGUGCACUGACACGCACCCAUCACCACGGUAUAAUACACUGCCCUAAAAAACCCUCUGCCUGUCAGCCCUCACUCCUUACCACCCACAACUGACCACCACCGAUCUUUACAUUAUCUCCACAGUUCGGCCCAUCUAGCUGGAGUCAUACAGUACACACAUCACCCUUCCAGAUUGGCUUAUUUCACUUAACAGUGUGCAUUAGGGGUUCCUCCAUAGCUUUUUAGGAGUUGCUCAUUUCUUCUCAUCACUGAAUAAAGAUUCUGUUGUCUGAGGGGCACCUGGGUGGCUCAGUUGGUUAGGCGUCUGCCUUUGACUCAGGGUCCUGGGACAAGCCUUGCUUCGGGCUCUCUGCUCAGCAAAGAGCCUCUCCCUCUGCUGCUCCCCCUGCCUGUGCUUUCUCUCUCUCUUUCUGUCAAAUAAGUAAAUAAAAUCUUAAAAAAAAAAAAAAUUAUGUUGCCUGAAGGCACCUUGGUUGCUUCCCAGUUUUAGCAAUUAUGAAUAAUGCUGCUAUAAACAGCCUUGUGUAAGCUUUUAUGUGGACAUAAGUUUCAACUACUUUGGGUAAAUAUUAAAGACACCAAACGCCACCAAACCGUCAUCCAAAGUGGUUAUGCCAUUUUGCAUUCUCAUUAGCAAGGAAUGAGAGUUCUCAUUGCACCACAUCCUUCCCAGUAUUGGGUGUGGCCCCUCAAACACCGUUCAAACAGGUGUGUAGUGGGAUCUCACUGUUAUUUUAAUUUGCAUUCCCCUAAUGAUAUAUGACAUAGAACAUCUUUUCAAAUACUUAUUUGCCAUCUGUAUGUCUUCUUUGGUGAGGUGUCUAAGAUUUCUGCCCCCCAUCCUUUCUUUGACAUUUGGCAAUUUAAAGAAUGAGGUACUGAAGAUCACCACCUCGGCCGAAAAUGAGUUGGACGCUGACCCUACUGAGCCAACCAGGUGUUCCCUGGCCCAUUUUUUAUCCUGAAUGUUUUCUUUCACUUAUAUUGAUAUUAAAUUGAUAUAUUUCACAUACCAUAAUGUUCAUCAUUUUAAAGUAUACAAUUCAGUGUUUUUAUUAAAUUUUUUAUAAACAGAAUUGUGCAAACAUUACCACAAUUUAAAUAUAGAACCUGUCAACACUUGAAAAGGAACACCAAAGCCAUUAGAAGGUUUCUCCUCAUUUGUUCCCUAGGAACAAGUAAUCUGAUUUAUAUUUUAUAGACUUGGUUAUUCUAGACAUUUUCAUAAACGGAAUGAUGCAGUAUGUGAUCUUGUAUGACUGGCUUUUUUACUUGGCACAAUGUUUUCAAGGUUAAUCCAUAAAGCAAGUAUCAGUACCUCAUCUUUUAAAUUGCCAAAUAAUAUCCCCUGGUGUAGAUAUACCUUAUUUUGUUACUGAGCUUUCAAAUUUCAUGUGUUUGUGAUUUACCAAAGGAUUUAACAUUAUAUUUCUAGUAUCCAAAUAUGUGAUUGAAAAAAACAAUCUUCUUGUCAAAACUUUAAUUAUACUCUUUCACAAUAUGAGUACUAUGAAUGGGAUAUUCUCCUAAAUUAAGAAAAUUAGGAUUCUAUGGGAACUUUCUUCUUAUCCUAAGUAAAAACAAAGCUGAUUUUGAAAUCUUGAGUCUCAUGAAAGAUUGCAGUCAAAAUCUCAAAUAAAAAUGAUAACCAUCUUCAAUUGAUUGUUACACUUAAAUUCACAUAAAAACAACUUCUAUUUAGUUUUAAAGUAUUGAAAAACUCAUGAUAUAAAAAAAAUGAUAAAAAAAUAAAGAUGCUAUUUCUUUUGUGCCUCAAAAUAGAAGUAGACCAAGUUAGAAAAGACAUCUGUAGGAGGAAACUGAAGUCCAUUAAAAAGACUUAAUUUGCUAAUAUUUAGACAUUUUCAAUAAUGAAAUGUAUUCUUUGUCUCUAGAAGUGGUCAGGCUGUGUUGGUAUCCAAUACACAUGGAGAUACUUCAAGUGUGGUGACAAUAUAUCCAAAUACUCUUUCAACUCUAGAAUGCAAUACUCUAUGUUGAGCAGUUCUAACCAUCCAGCUAAUAAAAUCAAUCUAAGUGCGUUAGUCAAAUUUAAAAUAAUGCAAACAUUGAUUUCGUACAUAAACCAGGGGACAGUUUUAAAAAUAAGACAAAAUGAAAUUUCAAAAUUAUUCUUCAAAUAUGCCUUAGAUUUAUUUUUUAAAUACAUAAACAUAGGCAAGUUCUAUUUUAAACUAUUUCUAGCACACUGUCAUCUCUAGUAAUUAUCAGAAGAGCCAGCACAUCUAUCUCAUUGUAAUGAGACUGACAUAUUACUCUAUACAACGACAUAGAUUCAUAAGUGUUCUCAAAUCCCCAGCCAUUUAAGACUUUUAAAGAGUAUGAAGAUUUUUUUUUAAUUUAUCACAUAGAACACACUUUUAGAAGUCAGACAUUUCAAUGAAAGGGUGGGUUUUCUCCUUUCUAUAUUCACUCAUAGCAUUUUUGUAGCCUACAACAUGGUGAUCUCUUCUUAUUCCUCUGUUCUAAACAGCUGUUUGAUUCUUUAUAUUUUUACUGGAUCUUUGGGCUGAUUUACCAAAACUACCAUAAAAAGCAACACGAACAUUUAAAUGCCUUUCACUAAAAUUGUGAGCAUUUAGUCAUAUAAUUUGUCUCAUUCAAAAUUAUCUACUUCAACAUUAUCUGAAUUUGGCUUUUCAGAAAUACUGUAGUUUACAUGGGGGAUAUCUGUGUCCAUAGCCAUUACUUAAAUGCAAUGUUAAGCCCUCCAUUUUUGUUUUUGUUUUUUUGUUUUUGUUUUUGUUUUUGUAGCCUCCAAACAGCUCUGGAAUGAUGCAGCACCAUCUUUUACCAAAAACAUGGCCAUAUAAACACAGUUAUGCCAAUUUAGGAAUAAAACAAGAGUGCAUUAGGUUUUCAGAAAUGGCACAGUAGUUUUGCAAGUGAUCUAUGAUCAGCAAGUGGUUCUUCCAAACCAGUGAGCCUGUUAAGGUAGCUAGAGUAAGUC
This 3482-nucleotide long non-coding RNA is filed under the name Canis lupus familiaris (dog). Its description in RNAcentral is "lncRNA (ENSCAFG00845023764.1)". Lineage: Eukaryota; Metazoa; Chordata; Mammalia; Carnivora; Canidae. The record is from RNAcentral.